Molecule: long non-coding RNA, 606 nt
Organism: Arabidopsis thaliana (thale cress)
Lineage: Eukaryota; Viridiplantae; Streptophyta; Magnoliopsida; Brassicales; Brassicaceae
Product: other RNA
Exons: 1
Source: RefSeq
GGAGUUCUCUUAAGAUUCUAGAUCAUCAACUUGUCAUUGCCAGACCACCAUCAUCAUGGAGGCUUGAUUCUCGUGUUCUUCAUCCGGUUCUCGGCCAUUUUGAGAGUGUCACUUUGCCUCUUCUCUUCCUUGGCUCGUUUCAAAUUCUCUUUCAUUUCCCUCUCCUUUCGAGUUUUCGGGUUGUCACCAGCAAGAGCCGCAGUCACAUUUUCUUUGAAAAGUUUCUGGAGAUCCCGCUGAAACCCUUCAUAAGCAUGAAAGCUGCAGUACUCUUCCUUGUUCACCUUCCUGUACAUAACUUUCUUCGCAAGAGCAAGUCACUAGCUUCUUUCUUGCGAGCAAGGCAAGUUCAGCUUCUUCAGCUCCAGUUGGUGCUUUAGCAGCCAUACUUUUCUUCUUAUUCCCGCUAGAAGCUUCUUUUUUUCUUGUCGGCAGUUUUUUUCUUUUUUAAGACUUACAACAUGGGAAAAAGAAGAGAGACUGUCAAAUCUACUAAAGACCAAGGGAAAUUAGCAGAGCUGAUGAAUGAUAAUUUAGAGAUAAGAUGGUAAAGUGAACCUUAGGAAGAUCAGAAGAUUUAGCAUCAGGAUGAUGAGAGGAUUUGAC